This 272-nucleotide ribosomal RNA is filed under the name uncultured bacterium. RNAcentral's name for it is "partial 16S ribosomal RNA". It matches the Rfam family "Bacterial small subunit ribosomal RNA", at positions 82 to 354 of the family's 1533-position model. The record is from RNAcentral.
CCUUUGCCGGCGACCGGCGCACGGGUGAGUAACACGUAUGCAACCUGCCCUCUUCAGGGGGACAACCUUCCGAAAGGGAGGCUAAUCCCGCGUAUAUCGGUUUCGGGCAUCCGAGAUCGAGGAAAGAUUCAUCGGAAGAGGAUGGGCAUGCGGCGCAUUAGCUAGACGGCGGGGUAACGGCCCACCGUGGCGACGAUGCGGUAGGGGUUCUGAGAGGAACGGUCCCCACACUGGUACUGAGACACGGCCCAAACUCCUACGGAAGGCAGCAG